This 263-nucleotide long non-coding RNA is filed under the name Mytilus galloprovincialis (Mediterranean mussel). Lineage: Eukaryota; Metazoa; Mollusca; Bivalvia; Mytilida; Mytilidae. The record is from RNAcentral.
AUAAAACAUGAAAAAAUUUUGGUCAUAUAUAAAAAGCAAAAAAACUGAUUACAGUGGAAUAACAUCACUUAAACAAAAUGGGAAACUUGUAACAGACACAAAACAGAAAUCCGAUGCACUCAACAGCCAGUUUCAAUCAGUCUUCUCAGAACCAAACAAAAUCACUGCUACUGAAUUUGAAAACAAUCAGUACAUGCAACAAAAAACAGCUUAUCCUAUCAUGCCAGACAUAAACAUAACCAUCAACGGUAUCACCAAACAAC